RNAcentral lists this microRNA precursor (272 nucleotides) under Hordeum vulgare. Its description in RNAcentral is "miR6203 stem-loop (hvu-MIR6203)". The record is from miRBase by way of RNAcentral. Lineage: Eukaryota; Viridiplantae; Streptophyta; Magnoliopsida; Poales; Poaceae.
UGUGCCGAAUAGACGAUUAAGAAGACCUGCAAGGCCACAUCCAGUUCCAGUUGCAAUACCCAAAAGAAUAUUCUGUUGCUUCGCUGAUCUAACACAUUGCCUUUUUAUCAGAUCAAACUCUUUUCCAUGUGGACAACUUGAGCAACUGUAAUUUCCAAAGGUAUUUUGACAUGUCCCAUUGCAGUAGUUUGGUAGUGUGCAUUCAUCAAUAUCAUGUUCCUGAAUGUCCCAUGUGCUCUUCUUGAUGUCCUUUUUUCUCCUUCCUCGGCGGU